AUUGAACGCUGGCGGCAUGCCUUACACAUGCAAGUCGAACGGUAACGGGCCUUCGGGUGCCGACGAGUGGCGAACGGGUGAGUAAUGCAUCGGAACGUACCCAUUAGUGGGGGAUAACUCUCCGAAAGGAGGGCUAAUACCGCAUAUUCUGUGAGCAGGAAAGCAGGGGAUCGCAAGACCUUGCGCUGAUGGAGCGGCCGAUGUCAGAUUAGCUAGUUGGUGAGGUAAAGGCUCACCAAGGCGACGAUCUGUAGCGGGUGUGAGCGGAUGAUCCGCCACACUGGAACUGAGACACGGUCCAGACUCCUACGGGAGGCAGCAGUGGGGAAUUUUGGACAAUGGGGGCAACCCUGAUCCAGCCAUGCCGCGUGAGUGAAGAAGGCCUUCGGGUUGUAAAGCUCUUUCGGCCGGGAAGAAAUCGCAUGGGUUAAUACCCUGUGUGGAUGACGGUACCGGAAUAAGAAGCACCGGCUAACUACGUGCCAGCCGCCGCAGUAA
This 498-nucleotide ribosomal RNA is filed under the name uncultured bacterium. RNAcentral describes it as "partial 16S ribosomal RNA". It matches the Rfam family "Bacterial small subunit ribosomal RNA", at positions 30 to 523 of the family's 1533-position model. The record is from RNAcentral.